AACUGAUACUACCUGCGGGAACCUGCGGAGGGAUCAUUGCCACACACGAUCCAAGAUCGACACUUAUUUGUGAAACGUUAUUGUUAUUUACUCUGUUUGGUUAUGAUGAAGUAGUAUACCCUCGGGUAAACUAUGUAGUUGUAGCUUAGGAGUACUUUAUCAAACACCCCUUUAAACAAACAUGAAUUAUGCAUUGGAACAAACAGUCAUAACAAGUUUGUCUUGAUAUGGCGACUAGAU
RNAcentral lists this unclassified non-coding RNA (240 nucleotides) under soil metagenome. RNAcentral describes it as "partial contains 5.8S ribosomal RNA, internal transcribed spacer 2, and large subunit ribosomal RNA". The record is from RNAcentral.